AUGUUCAAGGUAAUUCAGAAGGGUCCGUGGGGCCAGCCAGCCGGAGCUUGUUCACCUUCAGAGUCUGUGCAGCACCGAAAAAGGACUCACCUCCCAAAACUUCCGUGAAGGUUGACGAGCUUUCGCGAGGGCAAAUCGCAGUGUGUGGAGGAGUCAAGGAACCAGCUUGAAGAAAGCUUCUCACAGCUCCGACACUUAUUGCGAGCCAUACACAAGCUGGUGUCAGGACACGUACUCCCAAAGUAAGCCCAAGAUGCAAAGUUUGGUUCAGUGGGGGUUAGACAGCUAUGACUAUCUCCAAAAUGCACCUCCUGGAUUUUUUCCGAGACUUGGUGUUAUUGGUUUUGCUGGCCUUAUUGGACUCCUUUUGACUAGAGGUUCAAAAAUGAAGAAGCUAGUGUAUCUGCCUGGUUUCAUGAGAUUAGCUGCCUCCCUGUAUUAUCCACAACAAACCAUCGUGUUUGCCCAGGUCAGUGGGGAGAGAUUAUAUGACUGGAGUUUAAGAUUUGUGGAAGGAGAACUUUCAAAAGCCAGGAAAUGUGAAGAAUUCACCUGGAACUAAGUAG
RNAcentral lists this long non-coding RNA (566 nucleotides) under Homo sapiens (human). RNAcentral describes it as "non-protein coding lnc-GOT2-6:2". The record is from RNAcentral. Lineage: Eukaryota; Metazoa; Chordata; Mammalia; Primates; Hominidae.